CAUCUUGGGUUCCUUUGCACGUACAUAGAAUAAAGUGCAGCUAGCAAGGCAGAAGACAGGAAGUUACAGAAGAAAAAGAUUGCUCAGAAAAGCAGAAAGGAUGUAGUACGUUAAGCUGGAGGUUUUUAAGAGACUGUAUCCAUCCAGGAUCGAAAGGCAUUAGGCAUUCCCAGUUGUUGCCAGUUCUACAUCAGCGUUCAUCAUCCUGGCCUACAUCUCUGUCACAGAUAUGAGUCAUAACAUCAUGACCGAUGGUCCUGUGGUAUGAGCAGUAAAGGAGCAUCCCUGAGCAGACUGAAGGAUGUUGGGCACUGGUCCACCCAGGUGAGAUGUGUUAAGUCAUUAAGCAGUGACUGAUGUGAGCCUGGAUUUCAGCUUCUGCUCCUUCUGUUUUUAACAAAGUUGUUAAUUUUAAUGAGUUUUAUAUAUAUAUAAAAAAAUCAGCUUCACAAAUAUUGUGUAAGCCUGA
Molecule: long non-coding RNA, 469 nt
Filed under: Anser cygnoides (Swan goose)
Lineage: Eukaryota; Metazoa; Chordata; Aves; Anseriformes; Anatidae
Description: lncRNA (ENSACDG00005007473.1)
Source: RNAcentral